AAUGACCCAUGACAAUGGGUGGAGAAGGACUGCAGAAGUGGGAUUAUCCCUUACCCCCAGUCCUUGGUCCUUCUAAGGAGCCUAUUCAGACCAGGGGGAAUUGAAACCAAGGUGGAGGAUAUAUCAGGGAUCUCCUACCAACUCUCCUUAGACAGAAGAAGCUGCUUGGAUGAGUAGCAAAAUGUUUCAACCUAACAAGAAAGAAGUCCAGUUCCCAUGACUCAACUUCCAGAUACUGUACUUCCUUGACUGUAUUUAGCCAGUGAGUGAAAUCCAAGGUGUGAGUGACAUCACAUUUUGAGGCUUAAGAAAUAUAAAAUUGUAGAGUUACCUAUCAAUCUACGCACUGCAUAUACACUAAGUGCCAUUGCUUCUAAAGGUUAAAAUGACAGAAAUACCUAUCAAUCUACGCACUGCAUAUACACACUGAGCACUGCACACACUAAGUGCCAUUGCUUCUAAAGAUUAAAAUGACAGAAGCCUCAGUCAUAAAUACUAGAAGAGCCAAAGUACUACUGGUUAGUUGUGUGCUGUCAAGGCAAAACCAGCUUAUAGUGACCCUAACAGGGCUUUCAUGAUAAGUGAGAUAUUUAAGGAGUGGUUUUACCAGUCCCACACUCCCAGUUACCAUGGUUGAGAAAGGAUUCAAACUCAGGCUCCUGAGUCGUAGCCUGUCACUCUAUCCACUACACCAGCAGUCCCCAACUUUUUUAGGGCUAUGGACUGGCUGGGGGGAGUAAGCUCCAUGCGCAGGGGAGCAAGGGCACCCCAGAGUAUCCACUACACCAGCGGUCCCCAACUUUUUUAGGGCUAUGGACCGGCUGGGGGGGGGUGAGCUCCAUGCGCAGGGGAGCAAGAGCACCCCCGAGCGAAAGUGGUGGGUGUCAUGCAUGUGUGCAAGCGUGACAAGCCCUACGCAUGAGCUUGCGGGGGGUGUGUGCACAGACCCAUAUCCAUGGCUGAGUUCCGGCAAUCCCAUGGACCACCACUGGGCCGCAGAGUGGGGGUUGACAACUCCUGCACUACACCACACUGGGCACAAAAGCACUCCUACGGGAUAUACCGUAUAUUCUGCAUUCUCCUUGGAUGGGCAGCAGCUUUUUAUGUUUUGGGUAUUUUGUUCCUACAUUUUGCUUCAGGAAUCUAUAUCUCAAACUCUUUUCUGCCUCUGGAAGGAGCUAUUACUGUUCUCCUUUUUACAUUAUUAUUAUUCACUGCCCUGUACGCUCUAUGUAUCUCACAGACAUCCCAGAGAGAGGCAGAAAGGGAUGGUGUGGGUGAAAAAUUAG
Molecule: long non-coding RNA, 1289 nt
Filed under: Pogona vitticeps (central bearded dragon)
Lineage: Eukaryota; Metazoa; Chordata; Lepidosauria; Squamata; Agamidae
Description: lncRNA (ENSPVIG00000003620.1)
Source: RNAcentral